CGUUCAGAAUGCUCUUGGGUAGAGACUUUUUAACUUGUCCACUAAUACGUGUUACCUUAGGAGACACAAUAGAGAUCGAAGACGUGCGCGAGACAAACGAAGAACAAAUAUUUAGUAUCACCGUUAGCGAAAGUUCCGAUAACGUGCGAGAUGAGUUACGCGUAAAUCCCGAGAUUGGUCAAGAUACAAUUAACAAAGCGCGUGAGAUUUAUAAGUCAAGUUACCUUCGAAAUUUCCAAGCGGGAGAACGCGAAUUUGGUUUUGAAAUGGAUAUUGUUUUAAAGCACGAUCAGCCCAUAAGUGCGCGUCCACGUAGAUUGUCUUUCGCGGAUAAAGAGGCACUACGGAAAAUUCUAGACGAGCUAUUAGAGAAAAAAAUUAUUCGUUCGAGUAAUUCGCCAUACGCGAGUCCAAUUGUACUAGUGCGAAAGAAAACAGGUGAGCUCCGGCUUUGUGUUGAUUUUCGCGAGUUGAAUAAAAUAACGAUACGAGAUAAUUUCCCUACUGAGCUCAUAGACGACAAUAUUGAUCAAUUGAAGAAUAAAAAAUAUUUUUCUGUGUUGGAUCUGAAGGACGGAUUCCAUCACGUUAAAAUGAGUGAAGCGUCGGUUAAGUAUACGUCAUUUGUGACCCCGCUGGGACAAUACGAGUAUUUGCGAAUGCCCUUCGGACUGACAAAUGCACCACGCGUAUUCCAGCGUUUUGUGCAUGCCGUGUUUAACCCACUGAUAAGAGAACAUAAAUUAUUGUUAUAUCUUGAUGAUAUUUUGGUUGCUACAGAGAGCAUUCAUGAGCAUCUAGCAAUUUUAUCGGAGUUAUUUGAACUGGCCGGUAAGAACCAGCUACAAUUUCGAUUGGAUAAGUGUCAUUUUAUUCAGACUGAGAUUAAAUAUCUAGGAUAUUGUAUCAAUCAACACGGGAUACGACCGAGUGACGAAAAUAUAGAGUCCGUGUUAAGUUAUCCGGUUCCGAGGAACGUGAAAGAGAUUCAUCGUUUUGUCGGGCUCGCGAGCUAUUUUAGGAGAUUUGUUCCUAAAUUUUCGUUGUUAGCGAAACCUUUAUAUGAUUUAAUAAAAAAGAACGCCAUAUUUAUUUUCGGCGUGGCGGAGCGCGAGGCAUUUGAGACACUGAAGUGUUGUUUGGCUAGUAGACCGGUAUUAGCAAUUUAUUCACCGCACGCUGAAACGGAACUGCACUGUGAUGCGAGUGCAAGCGGGUUUGGCGGAAUUUUGCUUCAGAAACAAAGCGAUAACGUGUGGAAACCCAUUUCUUAUUGGAGUCAGCGUACUACUGUUACGGAGGCUAAGUAUCACAGCUAUGAGCUCGAGUGCCUCGCGGUGGUUUAUGCGCUAAAAAGGUUUCAUAUUUACCUUGCUGGGCAGGAAUUCAGAAUCAUUACGGACUGUGAUAGUUUCCGUCUUACAUUGAAUAAAAAAGAUGUAAACCCACGAAUAUCGCGUUGGGCGUUGUUUCUGCAAAACUAUAACUAUGUAAUCGUACAUCGACCAGGGAAACGAAUGGCCCAUGUUGACGCGCUUAGUCGAUGUCAUAGCGUAUUAGUACUCGAAGGUAGUACGUUUGAGCGAACCCUGUCGAUUUGUCAGGAUCGGGAUACCGAGAUUCUCAAACUUCGUAAAAAGCUCGAAGAAACCGAAUUAAAACAAUACGAAUUACGUGACGGUCUUGUUUAUAGAAAAGAUAAAAACCAUAAGUUGUUAUUUUAUGUGCCGCGGUCGAUGGAAGCUAAUGUAAUCCGAACAUGCCAUGACGAUAUCGGACACGUCGGUGUCGAUAAGGUUAUUAAUUAUAUUACGAAAGUUUAUUGGUUUCCGAAUAUGCGUGAACGAGUGAAGGAGUACAUUGCAAAUUGUCUUCGAUGUAUAGAGUUCUCACCUUCGAGCGGUAAAACGGAAGGGUUUUUGCAUAAUAUCCCAAAGGAUAAAUUACCGUUUAUGACUGUACACGUAGAUCAUUUCGGUCCGUUGGAGAAAACAGGAAAGGGAUAUCGACACAUACUUGUUAUUGUCGAUGCAUUCACUAAAUUUAUAAGAGUCUAUCCAUGUAAAUCGACUACGACAGAUGAAGCAAUAAAAUGUCUGCGAGAUUAUUUUCGCUCAUAUAGUAAACCAGGGCGUCUGGUUUCGGAUAGAGGUACAUGUUUCACAUCCGAUACAUUUAAAGAGUUUUUAAAGGAUGAAGACGUCCGACAUGUUUUGGUUGCCGUACACACGCCGCGAGCUAAUGGCCAAGUGGAGCGCUUUAAUAGAAUUCUAGCGCCAAUGAUAGCAAAAAUUAGCGAAACUCCCUCCACGUGGGAUCGUGUUUUGAGUGAAGUCGAGUAUUCUUUGAAUAAUACUGUUUGUCGAUCCACCGGUGAAACUCCUUCGCGAUUAAUGUUUGGAGUUGACCAAAAGGGAAAGCCUAAUGAUGUUUUGCGUAAAAUGUUCGAGUCGGAUGUGGACCGUGAUCUCAUAGAAAUUCGGGAACAAGCGUCUGUUAAUAUUGAAAAAUCGCAAUCGAAAAAUGAACAACGGUAUAAUUUGCGGAGAAAGGCUGCGCGUUUGUAUGAGGUAGGUGAUUACGUUGAAAUUCGUAAUGUAGAGGCCACUCCUGGCGUUAAUAAAAAGCUGUUACCGAAGUUUAAAGGGCCUUAUGUAAUAAAGACUGUUCUCGAUUGCGAUCGAUGUGUAAUUACUGAUGUAGAAGGGUUCCAGUUGACCCAACGACCGUAUACUGGUGUCGUAGCGCCGGAUCAGAUGCGACCCUACAUCCAUUAAUAAUUUAUAGCGUUUGCGUAUUUCUUGCGUUAACUGAUGAUUCCUUGUGUUGGUUGUGUUAGUUUUAAGCCUAGUGGUAAGUUUUGUGAAACUGUUGUUUUGUGCACUUGUUUGACCGGGACGGUCAAUAAGUCAGAAUGGCCGAACUGUAGGCAUAUUUGUGUGAAACUAUUUGUGUGAGUGAUCACGCUUGUCUCGAGUGUUCUCGUCCUGACUUGUUCGUGCGGGACAGCAUGGGUAAUGGAAAGUUCUGGCAAUCGGAAGUAACGGUUUUUCGGGAUCCGUUGAUUGGUCGCGUAUGAUCUUACGAUCGCGCAUAAUUGGUUAUCGAGAGAUACCCUCCCCCCCCCGCAGGGAGGGGAGUGUGCCGGGAGCGCGAGCAUUCGUGACGAGCAGUGAGAAUUGAGAUUGCGAGUAGAUUGAGUGACGACUACAGAUUUCAUCCUGGACGACGACUACAAGAACCUUGAACAUCAACUGUAUCCCCAGCCGUGGUAACGACGGAAGUGAAAAUACGUGCAGUGAGAGUUUAACAAGGAAGU
Molecule: RNA transcript, 3319 nt
Organism: Mycetomoellerius zeteki
Lineage: Eukaryota; Metazoa; Arthropoda; Insecta; Hymenoptera; Formicidae
Gene name: Ornithine aminotransferase precursor
Exons: 2
Source: RefSeq, a predicted model, not a curated record